ACGGGUGGCGAAGGCGGCCCCCUGGACGAAGACUGACGCUCAGGUACGANAGCGUGGGGAGCAAACAGGAUUAGAUACCNUGGUAGUCCACGCUGUAAACGAUGUCGAUUUGAAGGUUGUGGCCUUGAGCCGUGGCUUUCGGAGCUAACGCGUUAAAUCGACCGCCUGGGGAGUACGGCCGCAAGGUUAAAACUCAAAUGAAUUGACGGGGGCCCGCACAAGCGGUGGAGCAUGUGGUUUAAUUCGAUGCAACGCGAAGAACCUUACCUACUCUUGACAUCCACAGAAGACUUCAGAGAUGAGGUUGUGCCUUCGGGAACUGUGAGACAGGUGCUGCAUGGCUGUCGUCAGCUCGUGUUGUGAAAUGUUGGGUUAAGUCCCGCAACGAGCGCAACCCUUAUCCUUUGUUGCCAGCACGUAAUGGUGGGAACUCAAAGGAGACUGCCGGUGACAAACCGGAGGAAGGUGGGGAUGACGUCAAGUCAUCAUGGCCCUUACGAGUAGGGCUACACACGUGCUACAAUGGCGCAUACAAAGAGAAGCGAACUCGCGAGAGCCAGCGGACCUCACAAAGUGCGUCGUAGUCCGGAUUGGAGUCUGCAACUCGACUCCAUGAAGUCGGAAUCGCUAGUAAUCGUGGAUCAGAAUGCCACGGUGAAUACGUUCCCGGGCCUUGUACACACCGCCCGUCACACCAUGGGAGUGGGUUGCAAAAGAAGUAGGUAGCUUAACCUUCGGGAGGGCGCUUACCACUUUGUGAUUCAUGACUGGGGUGAAGUCGUAACAAGGUAACC
RNAcentral lists this ribosomal RNA (794 nucleotides) under uncultured bacterium. RNAcentral describes it as "bacterial SSU rRNA". It matches the Rfam family "Bacterial small subunit ribosomal RNA", at positions 708 to 1501 of the family's 1533-position model. The record is from RNAcentral.